AACGCGAAGAACCUUACCAGCCCUUGACAUGUCCCGUAUGGGGCCGAGAGAUCGGCUUCUUCAGUUCGGCUGGCGGGAACACAGGUGCUGCAUGGCUGUCGUCAGCUCGUGUCGUGAGAUGUUGGGUUAAGUCCCGCAACGAGCGCAACCCUCACCUUCAGUUGCCAUCGGGUAAAGCCGGGCACUCUGGAGGAACUGCCGGUGACAAGCCGGAGGAAGGCGGGGAUGACGUCAAGUCCUCAUGGCCUUUAUGGGCUGGGCUACACACGUGCUACAAUGGCGGUGACAGAGGGAGGCAGAGGGGCGACCCCGAGCCAAUCUCGAAAAGCCGUCUCAGUUCGGAUUGUUCUCUGCAACUCGAGAGCAUGAAGCUGGAAUCGCUAGUAAUCGCGGAUCAGCACGCCGCGGUGAAUACGUUCCCGGGCCUUGUACACACCGUAGUAC
RNAcentral lists this ribosomal RNA (444 nucleotides) under uncultured bacterium. Its description in RNAcentral is "bacterial SSU rRNA". It matches the Rfam family "Bacterial small subunit ribosomal RNA", at positions 958 to 1398 of the family's 1533-position model. The record is from RNAcentral.